AACUAUUUGUACAUUUAAACCCAAACAUUAUCUAGUACAUGUAUAUGUUUGAUAACGUUACAUUAAGUUAGUUAAAUCUUACCAUGAAUAUUUCGUCAUUUCUGGAUACAAUACUAUUAAUCAGCUCUUUUAGCUGCGUCCAUUCUUUGGUGUGCUAUUCAUGCAGUGAUUUAAAAAGCAACGAGGAGUGUUUCAACACCACUAUUUGUCCGGAUGGAGAGGCCUGCUAUGGUCGAGCGGAUGGAUUCUUGACAUCGGAAGUGAAACACACAACUGGAUGCACCAAGGAGCUUAAGCCACAACAAAGACAUGAUACACUGGGGUUUUCUUUCUGUGCACAAGCAUGUCAUGACGAUCUAUGCAACUUGCACAGCUGCCAACUCGCAGACAAUUCAACAAAGCCUCCACGAUGUCUGUCCUGUGAUUCGGUAGAUUCUCCAAGUCAGUGCAAGAACGUCAUUCAAUGUUAAUCUAAUGAGGUUUGUUUCUCAGAAAAGGUGUUUACAUUUCAUAGAGUUGUUUACAGAUUUGGUUGUGUCAGUGAAAAGGACUGCAACACCCAACCUGUGAAUAUGGCUCCUAUUAUUGGAAAGCGGAGUGAUGAAAAAUCUUGUUCAGUGUGUUGCAAAACGGACCAUUGUAAUCUGAAAGCUUGCAGCAAUAACCCAGCAGGGCAUAUUUUUCCACUCGGACCAAUUUCAUCCGAUUUGUGUAUCGACUACGACACUGCAUUGUGUUCAACAUUCGGUCGUCUUAACCCAGACGCAUGCAAAGAGCAAAUAGUACUGAAUAGAUGUCCAUCGUCCUGCGCUACUUGUGCUCAUGUUGUAUGGGGCUCGUGGCAACCAUGGAGUAACUGUUCGGCUCGUUGUGGGCUAGGUACUAGGAAACGAUCGAGAACAUGUCAUCGGCGUUUCAACUUUGUUGGGACUUGUGCUGGACCCUCGGUUAGCAGUGCGGCAUGUGAAGGACAGUACUGCCCAGUGAACGGUGGAUGGUUUUAUGGGCCAUAUGACGACUGCAAAGAGGUCGGCGGUUCAUGGCAAUUUCCUGUAGAGUGUACUCAAAAAAAGGCAUAACCACAUGUUCUUGUCCAUCGCCUCAAAACGGUGGUCUCCCAUGCAAAUAGAUUCGUAAAACAAUCGAGAUGUAAAUUUCAUCGUGUAAUGUUCAUAU
This is a long non-coding RNA of Ruditapes philippinarum (Manila clam), 1176 nucleotides long. RefSeq lists it as uncharacterized. Lineage: Eukaryota; Metazoa; Mollusca; Bivalvia; Venerida; Veneridae. The record is from RefSeq and is a predicted model, not a curated record. The transcript has 11 exons.